AAAGCACUUCAUCUACAACAUUUGGGCAGACACAGGAGUCCCAAUUCUGCAUGUUCUUAUGGGUUAUGUAAUAAGGCAAAUCCACAACAAGAAGUGGAUACAACCAUCCUGUGGACAUAGCUUGGAGGGUUUGUUCCUUAAGAGGAGGCUUAAGCAUCCAAUAAUAGACAAUGCUCAGAUUCACUUCCCAGGAGCUGAUUCUUAACUUUGGGGUGCAUGCAACUUGUAACAGGGGCAAUUGCAGAAGAAGCCUCACUAUCUUGGGUCAAAAUCUUGGCUCUGAAAACAGUAACUGGAAGAUCUUGAGAGCGUCUCUUAAUUUCUCUUCCUUCUCUACAUGAAGAGGUUUUUAUCUGGCAGUGUCUUGCGAGAUUGAAAUUCCUUUUGCUUUGCCUCAGACGUGGUUACUCCCCUUGCACGCCCCCUCCCCCCGAGUAUAAAUGAGCCAGGCAAAGAUAAAAGAUGGAACGCUCUCUUUUUGCCUACUCCCAAGGAAAUUCCAUCAUCCUUGAAAGGCCAUGUGACUGCACAAAGCCCAAUGAGAGUCGAAAGAGGCAGCCCACAAGGACAGCCUUAGUGUGAGCUGAAAAUGAAGUUGUUACCAGACAGCAAACUACAGUCCUCGCUUGUUAUGAAUAUUUGAAUGAGUAACUAAAAACAGCUCAGUAAACUCUAAGCAACUAUGACAGCUGAAACUGUUUGGAAACCAGGAGUCCACCAGGACCAUGAUGAAAAGAUCGACAGUUACCUUGCGCCUCAUCCCCAGACUGGGUCUACAGAGGGGGCAGUAUCAGAUCUAUUUUACUCAGAUAUAAGUUAUGAAGAAUCUGAUUUAUCAUUGCACAUUCAGAAGCGAAGCAUCCCUCAAUCUCUUGUGUUAUUUUGACUUCAUUAAAUGCAAUGAUUUCUAACAAUCUU
Long non-coding RNA from Lutra lutra (Eurasian river otter), 918 nucleotides. RefSeq lists it as uncharacterized. The transcript has 4 exons. The record is from RefSeq and is a predicted model, not a curated record. NCBI's taxonomy places the organism in Eukaryota, Metazoa, Chordata, Mammalia, Carnivora, Mustelidae.